RNAcentral lists this long non-coding RNA (348 nucleotides) under Elaeis guineensis (African oil palm). RNAcentral describes it as "long non-coding RNA (EGUI_LNC002435)". The record is from RNAcentral. Lineage: Eukaryota; Viridiplantae; Streptophyta; Magnoliopsida; Arecales; Arecaceae.
GAUCUCAUCUCCAACUUCAUCACCCUAAAUGUUCAAUAGAUCCCUAGGUCCAAGACCAUGAGGGUAGAUCUCCUGUCAAAGCUUACCACCCUUGGAAUCACUGACCUUAAAAGAAGCUCAUAUAUGGAGACUUUGAAGCACCCCAGCGUCGAGGAGGCCCUAGUAAUGCAAGCAGAUCCUUAGCUGAGCUCGAUAGAUCUGAUCGUCCAAUUUUUGCGAGCCAAAGUUCUACCUAUUGAUCGAGAAGAAGUCAGGAAGCUAAGGCACCUCGCACCUCGAUAUGCGAUAUAUGAGGGGAAGCUGUGCAAGAGAUCAUUUUUAUUAUCAUUGCUUCAGUGCCUCCACCCC